Molecule: ribosomal RNA, 329 nt
Filed under: uncultured bacterium
Lineage: Bacteria
Description: bacterial SSU rRNA
Rfam family: Bacterial small subunit ribosomal RNA
Source: RNAcentral
GAUGAACGCUAGCGGCAGGCCUAAUACAUGCAAGUCGAGGGGCAGCGGGAGUAGCAAUACUUGCCGGCGACCGGCGCACGGGUGCGUAACACGUAUGUAAUCUACCCUUUACUGGAGAAUAGCCCGAAGAAAUUCGGAUUAAUGCUCCAUAAUAUCACUGGAAGGCAUCUUUUGGUGAUUAAAAGUUCCGACGGUAAAGGAUGAGCAUGCGCGAUAUUAGCUAGUUGGUGAGGUAACGGCUCACCAAGGCGACGAUAUCUAGGGGUACUGAGAGGUUACACCCCCACACUGGUACUGAGACACGGACCAGAUCCUACGGGAGGCAGCAG